Molecule: transfer RNA, 73 nt
Filed under: Klebsiella pneumoniae
Lineage: Bacteria; Pseudomonadati; Pseudomonadota; Gammaproteobacteria; Enterobacterales; Enterobacteriaceae
Also listed under: 1 other name
Description: tRNA-Ala
Rfam family: tRNA
About the family: Transfer RNA (tRNA) molecules are approximately 80 nucleotides in length. Their secondary structure includes four short double-helical elements and three loops (D, anti-codon, and T loops).
Source: RNAcentral
GGGGCCUUAGCUCAGCUGGGAGAGCGCCUGCUUUGCACGCAGGAGGUCUGCGGUUCGAUCCCGCUAGGCUCCA